This 480-nucleotide ribosomal RNA is filed under the name uncultured bacterium. RNAcentral describes it as "bacterial SSU rRNA". It matches the Rfam family "Bacterial small subunit ribosomal RNA", at positions 83 to 550 of the family's 1533-position model. The record is from RNAcentral.
AGAUACAGGCUAGCGGCGGACGGGUGAGUAACACGUGGGUAACCUGCCCAAGAGAUCGGGAUAACACCUGGAAACAGAUGCUAAUACCGGAUAACAACAGAUGAUGCCUAUCAACUGUUUAAAAGAUGGUUCUGCUAUCACUCUUGGAUGGACCUGCGGUGCAUUAGCUAGUUGGUAGGGUAACGGCCUACCAAGGCGAUGAUGCAUAGCCGAGUUGAGAGACUGAUCGGCCACAUUGGGACUGAGACACGGCCCAAACUCCUACGGGAGGCAGCAGUAGGGAAUCUUCCACAAUGGACGCAAGUCUGAUGGAGCAACGCCGCGUGAGUGAAGAAGGGUUUCGGCUCGUAAAGCUCUGUUGUUGGUGAAGAAGGACAGGGGUAGUAACUGACCUUUGUUUGACGGUAAUCAAUUAGAAAGUCACGGCUAACUACGUGCCAGCAGCCGCGGUAAUACGUAGGUGGCAAGCGUUGUCCGGAU